RNAcentral lists this ribosomal RNA (1521 nucleotides) under metagenome. RNAcentral describes it as "bacterial SSU rRNA". It matches the Rfam family "Bacterial small subunit ribosomal RNA". The record is from RNAcentral.
AGAGUUUGAUCAUGGCUCAGAUUGAACGCUGGCGGCAGGCCUAACACAUGCAAGUCGAACGGUAACAGGAAACAGCUUGCUGUUUCGCUGACGAGUGGCGGACGGGUGAGUAAUGUCUGGGAAACUGCCUGAUGGAGGGGGAUAACUACUGGAAACGGUAGCUAAUACCGCAUAACGUCGCAAGACCAAAGAGGGGGACCUUCGGGCCUCUUGCCAUCAGAUGUGCCCAGAUGGGAUUAGCUAGUAGGUGGGGUAACGGCUCACCUAGGCGACGAUCCCUAGCUGGUCUGAGAGGAUGACCAGCCACACUGGAACUGAGACACGGUCCAGACUCCUACGGGAGGCAGCAGUGGGGAAUAUUGCACAAUGGGCGCAAGCCUGAUGCAGCCAUGCCGCGUGUAUGAAGAAGGCCUUCGGGUUGUAAAGUACUUUCAGCGGGGAGGAAGGGAGUAAAGUUAAUACCUUUGCUCAUUGACGUUACCCGCAGAAGAAGCACCGGCUAACUCCGUGCCAGCAGCCGCGGUAAUACGGAGGGUGCAAGCGUUAAUCGGAAUUACUGGGCGUAAAGCGCACGCAGGCGGUUUGUUAAGUCAGGUGUGAAAUCCCCGGGCUCAACCUGGGAACUGCAUCUGAUACUGGCAAGCUUGAGUCUCGUAGAGGGGGGUAGAAUUCCAGGUGUAGCGGUGAAAUGCGUAGAGAUCUGGAGGAAUACCGGUGGCGAAGGCGGCCCCCUGGACGAAGACUGACGCUCAGGUGCGAAAGCGUGGGGAGCAAACAGGAUUAGAUACCCUGGUAGUCCACGCCGUAAACGAUGUCGACUUGGAGGUUGUGCCCUUGAGGCGUGGCUUCCGGAGCUAACGCGUUAAGUCGACCGCCUGGGGAGUACGGCCGCAAGUUUAAAACUCAAAUGAAUUGACGGGGGCCCGCACAAGCGGUGGAGCAUGUGGUUUAAUUCGAUGCAACGCGAAGAACCUUACCUGGUCUUGACAUCCACGGAAGUUUUCAGAGAUGAGAAUGUGCCUUCGGGAACCGUGAGACAGGUGCUGCAUGGCUGUCGUCAGCUCGUGUUGUGAAAUGUUGGGUUAAGUCCCGCAACGAGCGCAACCCUUAUCCUUUGUUGCCAGCGGUCCGGCCGGGAACUCAAAGGAGACUGCCAGUGAUAAACUGGAGGAAGGUGGGGAUGACGUCAAGUCAUCAUGGCCCUUACGACCAGGGCUACACACGUGCUACAAUGGCGCAUACAAAGAGAAGCGACCUCGCGAGAGCAAGCGGACCUCAUAAAGUGCGUCGUAGUCCGGAUUGGAGUCUGCAACUCGACUCCAUGAAGUCGGAAUCGCUAGUAAUCGUGGAUCAGAAUGCCACGGUGAAUACGUUCCCGGGCCUUGUACACACCGCCCGUCACACAUGGGAGUGGGUUGCAAAAGAAGUAGGUAGCUUAACCUUCGGGAGGGCGCUUACCACUUUGUGAUUCAUGACUGGGGUGAAGUCGUAACAAGGUAACCGUAGGGGAACCUGCGGUUG